CGGAAAUAUGUGUUUCCCUGGAAUUGGCCGCUGACUUGGCUGUGUCCGUGGGAACUGUGGGAAGGUGUCUUGGGCUGAUGGCGUAACUCCCGUUAUGUUUUUGUUUUGUUUCUUAGGUUAGUCAACUGUUGUCUUAAAGUCUACUUCUCUGCUGGAGGGGCAUGGAGCUAAGACAGCAGCGCUAAGUUUUAGUUGGGAAGUACCGAAGACAUAACGCACACGUCGGGCUGGAUUGUCACUGAGUUUUAAGGAUAUAUGAAAAGUAUAUUGACUCCAAUGCAAAAACGUUUUAACAAUUAUGAAAGUACUUACAUGGAAUUGAAAACUAGAAAUGUUUGGUAUUUUCUAAGAUUGUACUACACUAUGUCUAUAUUUUUAUAUGUGGGCUUGAAAAGAAACCGCAAUAAAGCAUAUCUCCGUG
This is a long non-coding RNA of Dendroctonus ponderosae (mountain pine beetle), 421 nucleotides long. RefSeq lists it as uncharacterized. The transcript has 2 exons. The record is from RefSeq and is a predicted model, not a curated record. Lineage: Eukaryota; Metazoa; Arthropoda; Insecta; Coleoptera; Curculionidae.